RNAcentral lists this long non-coding RNA (24217 nucleotides) under Citrus sinensis (sweet orange). RNAcentral's name for it is "long non-coding RNA (CSIN_LNC000514)". The record is from RNAcentral. Lineage: Eukaryota; Viridiplantae; Streptophyta; Magnoliopsida; Sapindales; Rutaceae.
AAUGAGUGAGACGCAAUACAAGCAUAAGGAAAUGGCAACUGCAGCAAGAAAAUUACAUAGCAGCCGCCGGUUGUCUUUUGUAGGUACGAAAACCGACUUGAGUGUACUGGUUAAUUCAAAAAGUCGAUGAGAUAUCUGUAGAAGCAAGUCAAGAUAUCAGGAUCAUGCAAAGAAAACAAGAUUAGUUAAAACUCUCUGCUCACGUAAUUUUAAAAUUCACGAAAUAUUUACUUACCAAGACAUAAAUGGCAGUUGUAAGCAUGAAGUUGAGCAUUGGAUAUUCUGGGAUUAAUGAAAGAAGCCAUUUAGGUUGUCCAUUCGAGGUGUUUGAUCUGCACAUAUGUAGAAUAAGUUACAGUGCAUUUAUUCUAGUUGACAGUGAAGUCUUUGAUUUCUGGGAGACUUCAAGAGUAAGCUCAAAUGAUGUUAUAUUUCAUGUUUAUUUAGGCUCCCCCCCCCCCCCACUUGCUAGCUUACUUGAAUAUUAGACCCAAGAAAUGAAACAUCAAAUAUGAUCUUUUAUUUUAAUUACUUCGAAAACAAAUAUGCAGUGUUCCACCUCAGCUGAGAGAGUGAUAUCAAGGUAACAAACUGAAAAAGCUGGUGGAAAUUUAUAUAUAUAUAUAUCAUACCAGUCAAUUCAAAACAAGCACAGUAAGGGCAAGAAAUACGAGGACAAAACAGUUAGUCCACAAACCUCAACCAGAUAUGGAACUGUGAAAUGUAUGUUUCCAAAGUUAUCUUGCCAAGCCACCUAGCAUUACAAGGUUUAGCCAUUCCACAGCACAAAAAUAUGGUUAGACAAAACAGGUAAGGAUGCAAAAUAAAAUAAUUUAAGCUUAACCAAAGUCAGAUAAUUUAGUUAAAAUGGUUAAAGAACAUACGCAAAGAGAGUCAAAGAGACACUCCGAAGCUGCUGAGUAAAAUUUCGCAAACAGAUGUACACACUGGAAUCACAACAAAGCUGAGUUAAAACUUAACCAAAAUCCUUAGGAAUAUCUACAAGCCAUCAUGUAUAAACUACCUGAUAAGUGCUUCACCAAAGAGAAAAAAUAAAAAAUAAAAAGUACAUACGUGAUAGGAAUCCAUGAUGUAUAUGGAUGGUACUUGUUGUAUGUAACUUUGUCCAGUUUGUAGAUGCAUUCAUACCACAAAUAACCAACCUAAAUUAAAAAUAAACCAUAUAAGAAAAAUCCUGAAAUUAGAAAGGUGAUAAAAGAUAAUCAAUCAUAUUUAAGCAGACAACAAUUCGACUGUGACCACAAAGGCAUGCAACUCACAAAUAAAGCAACUGUCACGAUGCCUGCUUUUAUUGAAAGUUUUCUCUUGGGUUCAGAUUCCUCCAAUUUCUCCAUCCAUUUCUCAGCCUGACAUGUUAAAACAUUUUAAAAAUUUAGUAGUUUGUUGCCAGACACUAAAAAAUGAAUAAAUAAAUAAAUAAAUACACCAAAAAUCCAAGAUCACCAAAGAUUAAGAAGUUACAGUGGGAUGAUAAUAGGCAUAUAUCAUUCCGAUGAUCCAUAUAUAGCGAUCAAGCCCAGAUCUAAAAUGCCACUCAUGCAGUCUAGGGAGAUCUGGUUUUGCAGGAUCAGUAUAUCCUGCCAAUGGAAAAACUAUAAUGUUGAGCACCUUCCAAGAAAUCCAAGUCAACUUGAACUUAUUCAAUGUAUUCAACUUGAAUUAAGCACAAUCAGUUUAAGUUCUUUUGGGAAAAAGGUAAAACUAUCAACAAGAAAAUUCGUUAAAACUUCAUAUAGAAGGUAUGCAGAAAAGUGACAAAGGCCAUAAAACACAAUCAAAAUUGGGCAUAAAACCGAAACUGCAGAGUAUAAAUUGAGUUCUCUCUGAUUCUGCUAGAUAAGUGUUUAGGGAUAUCUGCAAGGAUACCAACCUAAUAUGAAUGUUAAAGGACUCCAAAAGAUGUCAAAAACUCCAGGAAUUUCCCAAAUCAAGAUGACCACAAGGAAACAUGCAAGAAUCUUCACAAUCAUCACCGAUCCUAUCUCAUUGUAUUUGUUAAAAAUGCCGACAGCUCCAUAAACCAUUAUGGUGAAAAGCGUGUGCAUUGGGCAGAUAUAGUACAGCAUAUAGUCAUUGUUGAGAACAAUACAGCAAAAUGCCACAAAGAAAUUCAGCCGCCACAUCAUCUGCAUCAAAUUAUAAGGAUGUAAAAGCAUGUGAGACCAAAAAAAAAAAAAAAAGUCAUGAUUAUUACAGUGAAAUGUAGCAAUAGCCUAGAAUAAAUAUAAUCACCUGAGCAAAGCGUGGAAGGCUAAAAUCCUUUCUGAUGUAAUAGUAGGAAAAGUUUCCAAACCCAGUCAUCCAAACAUAUGCAGCAAUAAAGAUACGUAUUGCAUUGUAUAUCUCAGUUGCAGCAAAGUAAUGGUACAUUAAAAAUAGGACCUGCCACAAUACAAAAUCACCAGUAAAACAAUUUAAAGUCCUCAUGCACGUUGAAUAUAUCAUUUAGUUGAUAAAUGAAGCAAAGCUGUAAGAACAAGCCCUUUUUCGAAAACCAACUAAGAUAUGGUAAUGUACUCUAUUCUUUCAACAUAUAACCAUCAUACAUAUCAUAAUUAAUUCCAUCUCGUGGUUUGGCAAUUUCUUGAUAUGAUUUUCUCAAAAUUACAGUGCAGUUACUGAAAAAAAAAAGAAAAUAUUGUCUUCAGCUUGAAUAAGAUGAAGAGCAUCAAGAGAUAAUGCUUGUUGUACACAGAUGAAAACAUAAAUGCAAGAUAAAUAUAUCAAGAAGAAUAACAGAAUGCAAAUUAAAAUCCAAUUUCCAUAAUUCAAAGUAAAUGCAGAACAAAAAGCGGCUGCAAAGCAUACAAUUAUUUUUAUUCAAAAAAAAAUUAUUAAUUAAACACAUACAAACUACACGAGACUCGAACCCAAACCUAAGUCCUGGGAAGGCUGCCCACUAAUCAGUGGAGCUAAGCCUUGGUCUAAAAAAUAUUUUUAUUCUUUUCACUCAAGAUUAUGCUAAAGGAAUAUUUCUUUAUUAGUUAAAAGUUCUGUCAAGAAAUACUUGCCUGCAUCCAUCCUUUCCACUCCUCAGUCUGAUGUCGAUUAAGGUAUUGUAUGGUCUUUCCAGAGAAUGGAGACUUGUCAUUAUGUUUCUUCAAAGAAGUCAUAGCUGAAACUAUGACAAGAAGAAGGUAGAGAAAGAGGAAAAGAUCGCGAUUGUAGUUCUGUUGAAGAAAAGGCACAUUAAGGAGGAGAAACAAAUAUAUAAAAUUUACAAUAUAGACAUCUAGCUCAUUGUCAUUAUCAGGCAAAUGUGAACUAUGAUUCCAACAACCAUCAAGUUAUUCUAAAGAAGCACCAUAUUUAUAAUUUGCUCUUGUACUGCAUUUCAGGUAAAAGCUACGGCUGCAUAAAACUUAAGCAACCUAUACCAUCAAAAGACAAAAUAUAAAAAAUUACAGGGUAUACACUAACAGCUCAUAGGAUAUCCAUCAAGAACAAUUAAAAGGUUAAAAGAUUUGCAGCUUCAAACAACUUCAUAAGGGCAUUAGCUUAAACCGAGGAACAAAACUAGCAAUGCCAAUUUAGAUUCCCCAACUUCCUCCCUUUCUCCCUCAUAGAAAAAAAUAAGAUGGCUGGAUUUCAGCAAUAUGUUGAUAUGCACAUGACAUAGAUAGUUGAAAAGAAGUAAGACAAAAAACUCUAGAGUGACAGAGGAAAUGUUUCAAAGUCAAGGAACCACUUGCAAAAUUUACUUGAGUAUAGCAUUUGAGUGCGAAUCAAUCAGAAACAAAAUCAUGAAAGAAACAAAUUAAAUAAAUAACAGGACAAAAGUACCUUAGUAGAAUCACCAAGUAAAUUUGUACGGUCACAUAUGUAGAAAUAAAACAAAAUUGCCCCGAACUCAGCCCUACAUGAUAUACAUGAAGUUUAUAUACGUAUAGCAAAAGGAGUAACCAGCAACCUAUUCCCCUCAACAAAAUAAUAUGUCUUACAUUGCUCUCAGAGUUGCACGAUUUUCUAGCAAGAAAGCAUCAUCCAUAGUCAUAAACCUAGAAGAAGAAUAGGUGAAGGUAAGAAAGACUUUUUAAUACAAGAAUCACAUGAAGGUCCAUGACCAUUUUGCAUAUCACAGGAAGUGACCUAAUCAGGUUUGUUUUGAUGGAUGAACUGAGAAGCCUCGCAGAAGCUGAUCUUGAAAGGCCUCCUUCUAAUAAAACAGCACGGUCAUCUUCCUUGAUGGUCUCCUUUUCCAAUUCAACUAGAUUGGUGUCUGAAUGGCUGCAACCAGGGAAUUCAUUCAGUACUAGAAAAUGUUUAUGUUGACCACUUGAUAGUCUAGAUUCUACCUUCCCUUUAUUCUCCAAACAUACCAGUCAACUCAUUGUAUCAGUGACUUAGAUUUUCGUCCAGGCACACAUAUCACAAGAUCUCAAAGUAUUAUUUUCGAUUUUCAAAAAAAAAAAAAAAACGAGAGGAAAAUUUUCCCUUAGUCUACACCUGUGACAACAAUAUUUUUCAUCCAAAAAGAAACCUAUUUUGCAACAUCAAUUCACCAUGUAGACACAUAAAAGUGGAUUACCUGACAAAACCAAGGUUAACAAACUACUUCAAUCCAUUUGGUAAGGAACUUACACUUUCGUAUGAGAAGAAACUUUCUUGUAUUCUAAAAACUCUGAAUAUAUCCAUGCAACGAAUACUGGGAUAAUUCCGAGUAGAAAAGACACCUGAGAUGUGCAGCAAAAGACUCCAUUACAUACGUCAGGCAAAGUUUAUUCAGAACACCAAAAAUGAAGACACCAAUAACAAUCCAAAUGAAACAAAAUAUGCAGAAACAGCAGCAGAAACUGAUUGCCAUCAGCUUCAGAACUUCUAUUAAAACUAGACAUUAGCAUUUUUCUCUCUCCUUUUCUUUUUUAUUUGUAAUGUGUACAGUCUCAUUUUGCUAGUGUGCUCAAAUUGCUCUCACUCACAGAUUCCGCUAAUCACCAAGCAUUAUCAAUUUAAAAAUGAAGCAAAAUCUGCAGAAUUAUCAGAAGUUGUUGCAUCUAAAAGAUCUAAAGCUAACAACCACAUUUUACUGAAAUGAAAAAAGAAAAACAAAAGUUAAUCAAACACAACACAAGAAACAAUAAGAUUAGGAAGAAACUAAUUAUAAUUAGCAGGAAUCGAAUAAUGCUGAGGAACUGAAACGGCACCGCACCUGUCCAGGCGUGAUUGGCCGGAAAACCACCAUUGUGAUAGGAUCCGGAAAACUGAAAAACAAAAAACAAUAAAAACAAUGCAUGUAGAAAAUAACGACGAAAUAUAAAACAAGAAAACGAAAAUUAAACUCUAAAUUUCGAAAUUUAGAUCGAUAAGCUAAAAUAAAAUAAAAAAGAAAUGAAAUGAAGUACCAGAGCAGAAGAAGAAGAAGGAAGCAGAGGCGUAUGGGAGAGUGAUCUCUAUGACAUGCUUAUAUAAAUAAAAGUUCUGAUAGAAUUUAAUAAACCUAGGCUAGGCUUGCGUAAUAUAAAGCUAAGAAGCAGAGAUCCGAAGUGAACAAGGGACGAUGAGUUUGCUUCAAGAAGAGAGAAAAUGUUCGACGACGCGUCGUUUUCACUCCUCUUUCUCAAACGGUCGAUGGAUUGGUGGUGGUCGGGUUGUUGCUGUUGGCUUUGGUUUUUGGUUGCUCUUUAGCUUUCGUUUUGACACACACUAUUUUUUACUACAAACAUUGAAUUUAAUAAAAUGAACCAUCAUUAUUAUUAUUUAUUGUGUGCAUUAUUAUUUAUUAUUUAUUACUAAACAAGCCAAUGCACUGCCUUUUUUCUCUCCGAAUGAUAAUAACUUUUUAAAUAGCUGCUGAUUUUUAAUAAUUUUUUUGAAGCCUGAUUACUGGACUUUCAUAACAAAGAGACGCUUUGAUAUUAAUUAUGAGCUCCAAUUUUAUAACAGAUUUCUGACAGAAGGUGACAAUGUUGAGCACGUGAAAAGAAAUUGGGGAAGAUCUAAAACCUCAGAUCACCACCCCACGAAUCAUUGACUCUGACUGAUGACUUUUGAUCAGAAACACGACUAAUGUUGUGGAUAAACAAGCAAUUUAAAACCGCACAAACUCUUAUCGUAACCGUUGGUUUUGAUUACUUUAUUGAACGAUAUGAACUGUACUUAUUAAUGCAGAGGGGAGUCUUGAAGAUAAAACAUAAUUAAUUAAGAGACAAGUAAAGAUUAAGUAAAUCACCCAAUCGCAUAUUUUAACACUUUCGGACAUAAAUCAAUGGACACGUCUCACAACUCUCUCUCUCUCUCUCUCUUUUCCCCUCUUUGGCUUUUAUUUUGGUAACUCAAUAAAAGAGUUAUACGGUUUGCUUAAGGAACCUUGACAGAUAAACAGACAUACCAUACAAAAGCAAUUUAAUUCAAAUUUUGUAGUAACCAUUAACUCUGUGCAUUUAUAUUAAUUCAAAAAUCUUAGUGUGUAUAUCGUUUAUUUUUGGUGAUAUAAACAAGGUAGGUUGUUAUUACUUCAUCGGUAAAAGCUCGUUUAGUCUAUAUAUUUUAAUAUUACUGUCCAUUUAAUUCUUAUAUUUUUAAAAGUAUCUUAAAAUAUCCCUAUUGUUAAAUAUUGAUACCCCUGGCCAUACUUUUUAUUUAUUUUCACUUACUUUUACAAUAUUAUUCUCUUACAAUAAUUUUUUAAGACAUUAAUAAAAAGAAAAAAAAUUAAUUUAUCAAUUUAACCCCAAAAAUAAAAUAAAAACAAAAAGAAUAUAUAUCAAUUUUUGUGGAAGCUCAUAUAUGUCCAAAAAAUAACAUUAUUAGAAAAAUUAAAUGUACCAUUUUUUUAGGCAUAAAAAAUUAAUAUAUUAACUCCUCAAUAAGGUAUUCCACAAAAAAUCAUAUAUAUAUAUUCUUUUUGUUUCUAAUUUUAUUUUUUGGGAUCAAAUUCAUUAUUUAAUUUUUUUUCUUUUUGUUAAUGUCUAAAAAAAAUAGACAUUAUUGCAAGAGGAUAAUAUUGUAAAAACAAGCUAAAAUGAAGAAAAAAGUAAUGGCAUGGAUGUCAAUAAUUCAAUAGCAUAGAUAUUUUGAGGUAUUUUAAAAAAAUAUAAGAACUAAACGGACACUAACAUCAAAAUAUAGGAACUAAACAAGCUUUUACCUUUACUUUGUUCAUAAUCAAGUAAUUAAAGUUAAGGCAAUGAGUGCAAAAACAAUGUGAAUUGGGCUAUUCUUCCUCUAAACUUUACUUUGAACACUCAUCUUAAAAUAAAAAUUUUUAUUAUCUAAUUACCAUUUAAUGAAAUUACUUAAAUAGACAUAAUUAAGAAAAUGAACAACCUUUUUUCCCCCUUAAGGUGUUCAGCACCGAUUUUAAAUUAUUGCAUUUUAGAUCACACACGAUGUGGCUUGCAAUGACAUCUCCCAAUUCAAUGUUUGGUUAAAGCUCUAUCAAUCUCCUGCGUAAAUAGCAAGUUAUAUAAUUAAUCUUCUUUCGCUAAUCAAGAGCUAUAUUACACAAAAUGAAGAAGAUUUUAUUUUUCUUCCCACGUGUGGUUUGCCAGACAACAAAAUUGACGAGAAUCAAAACUAAGAAAUUGAUCUUUAAAAAUAUAAAUAUACGUUUUUUAUUUAGUUAUCUGUCUGCACCUGUUAUAAAUACUUAUUAUAAUUGUUGUUCUUGUUAUUAUUGUUAUAUAUCUAUAACACAUAUUAAAAGAUCAAUCCAAAAUGUAUAAAUAGGCACGUCUUGAAAGAAUUUUGAUUAAAGUUGGCGUUGAAAUCAUUUUAUUUAUAGUAAAUAAUUAAUUAAUUAAAGUAGACGACAUGCAUGAUUCAAAUUUAGGCAAUAUUGGAAAUAUUAGAGUGUUCAGAGUAAAAAUUCAAUUCUUUAACUUUAAGUUUGAAAAUGGGUGUUUUGAGAAAAUGAACAUUGUGAGUAAUUUUUUUAGUGCAAAUAAUCUUACACAUACAAUAUUCAUAUGGUAAUUACUUGAAACUCCAAAUGUAAAUACACACACACACAUAGAGAGAGAGAGAGAGAGAGAGAGAGAGAGAGAGAGAUCUAACUAUCUACUUUGUUAUUUUACAAACUACAACAUCAUUUCAUUUUAUUAAGGAUUUAGAUAAUAACCUAUUCAAACAAUCAACCACUGGGCCUUUAACGGUCUUCUCUUUUAGAAAAUGUGGGUGGUUUAUAUGUCCUUCAUAAAAUCUAAUGUCAACCAGUAAUAUGAGUUAUAGUAUGAUAUUCAAUAUAAACUAGUAAAAUGAGUUACGAUGUUAUUGUAAAUAUCGAUGUAUAAGAAAAAAAAAUUAUUCGAACAAUCACUCGACCAUUAUUCAUCACACAAAUUGAUGCAUUAUCCAUACACAAUAACUUUUUUGAUUGAUUUUGAUAUAUUUAAUUUUGUUAUUGUUAAUGACUAGUUAAUCCUGUUCUUAAAUCUUAAUGCUCUUUGUGGAAAAUUGACUAAAUAAAUAAUUCCUCUUGCAAAAGUCUCACAAUUCUCGUAAUAAUUUUUCUAAGUGCACCGAGUAUGAACAGCUAGUAAGUAAAUUGAAUAACUACGCACAUAACCAAUUAUUGAUCGACAUAAAAUAAUUCACACGUGAGGCACGCGAUGUAUCUUAUACGUACAAAUGAAACAUGUAUGCGUAUUACAUAUGUUUUUUCUUCUUUGAUGUGCGCAUAAUAUCUUCGUGUAUAUAUAUAUAUAUAUAUAAGACGAGGAAGCCAAGGAAUCAACCAAAUUAAGCUCGAUCAAAUCAUUUUUGUUUUUGGUUUUCUUCUUCUUCUUUUUUUUCCCGAAUUUGGCCCGAAAAAUCCAAUUAUGCAAUCAUAUUCCUGAAUUAAUGAUAAAUCAAACCAAAAUUAAAAACAAAAAUGACAAACCAUUGAUUCUAGCUACUGUGUUAUAGACAUAAUCACAGAUAGUUGAUUGGGAAGAAAAUUCGGGCUUUUAUAUUAUCUCUGUGUGUGUUUAUAUGUGUGUGUGUGUGUGUGUGAAAACUACUAAUAUACGGAACUAAUAUAUAUAUAUAUAUAUAUAUAUACACUUCAAACUUGUAAGCUACUUUUUUGGUGAUUAGUCGCAAGUUGAAAAAAUCAAGUGGUGUAAAUUAAGUACCAAAACAGAAGGUCAAAAAUACCUGCAUUUAAUUUCCUGCCAUCCUGCCUGAUUGAAGAGGUCAUAAAACUGACGAAUAAAGCUAGCUAGUGCAAUAUUCAACAAUCUAAGCUUGGCUGCGCGACUAGAAUCCUGAAAAGCUCUCCAAAAAUGGCGUUUUCUAACUUUUGGAGACAAAUUGAACAUAAUAUUUACUUCAAUACACAGGGAGAAAACUCUGGCAAUUCUUCAUCGAUCAUAUAUAAAUGAUAAUUAUAGUUCCAUAUAUAUCGAGGAGUAAUUGUAUACACAUAACAUAUAUGGGCAGGCUUCCAUAAAAUAAUACAAAUUAACACCAACAGCAGGCUAUAUAUAUAAAAUACAAAUUAAUUAUCGCCAGCAUCAACAUAUUUAAUUUCUCCCAUUGUAUGUAGAAAAAAACAUCCAUCGAUCUCAAAGACGAGGAUGCUGCAAAAUACAUAUAAUUUAAGGGGCAAAACAACAGUUUCAGUUUGGAUUCGUUCAUAGACGUGGUUCUCUUUAAAUUAAAAGGUUAGAAUAUAAAAGUCUAAGUAGCCGCCUGUGGGCAUAGUAACUAAGUACAUAUCUACAAAUUAAAGUCAAGGAUAUGGAGAGAGAUGAUCGGAUUCAUGGCUCUCUUUUGAAGAACACUGAGGGAGCUAUGUCUUGCAAAAGACCAAAAUUAUCAGGAAGCUGAUGAUCGUCAAGAGGGUGUGUAACAAAAGCAUUAGGGCCUGGAGCAGCAGUUUGGUUAUGAGUCAUGGCAGGCAUCAUAUUACUGUAACCUAACCACUGAUCUGGUGGAAAACUUGAGACAUUCAUCGGCGUCGGCGUGAGCAUAGAUGAGGAUUGGAAAAUCCCGGCAGCGUUUCCUCUCAGGGUAGUGGGAAGUGGAUGGCUAUGUUGGCCUUCAUAUGUUGUGAUCACAAUUGAUGGAUCCUCAUAUGAUCUCUCCACUCGCUUCUUCACUCCGCAUUUCUGAGUGGUGCACCUAUAAUAGCUUCUGCGCGCGCGCGCACACACACAUAUAUAAAUGUGAUCAUAUAUAAAUGUGAUCAUGAAAAUAUAUAGUUUGUUGACUGCUCGUAGGAUGACCAAAUUAAUUCUUAAUUGUAUUAUCAAGCUUAAUUUCCUUUGCGUGUAAAGAUGGAAAAAUAACAAUUAAUUAAUUACCUUGGAAAAGGGCUAUUCUUGACAGCCUUUUGUCCGUAUUUUCUCCAUCGAUACCCAUCUUCUAGAUGAUCAACUUCGCUCUUCGUCAUGAACGCAACUCGCGGUUCCUUUUGCUUUUUCUCUCCUUUCUUAUUAUUCUUCUUUUCUCUGCCCCUGUAGUAAAUUAUCAAUUAAUGCUCAAAUUAUAUAAUUAAUUAAUCAAUCAAAAAAUUAAUUAACAGUUGCACUACUAUACGUGUGUGUGUGUGUGUGUGUGUGUGUACAUGAUGAAGGUCGAAUUACUAAGUAAAUAUUGUUAAUUAAAACUUACAUUUUCUUAGAGCUCUCUCCCCCGUGACCGUGAUCUUUUGGUGAUUGCAGGGCUUGGUCAUCUUUUUGAGUACUCUUGCCAGAAUGAGAAUCUUCUUCACCGCCAGCCUCUGCAGAAGAAGAAGAGAUUGAAGAAUUCGGAAUCAAGAGAUCUUUAACUUGUUUUUGGUUGCCUUCAACCGAAGAAAACACUUCGGAUGAAGAAGGCGACAUGCCCGUGAAGGCCUUUUCAAGUGAAUUAUAGUCCAUGAGUCCAUGAAAGCAGUCGGUGAAGUUCAUUUGUGAAGGAUCAAACUCCUGUGGGCUCACAUAAUCUGGUGAUGAUGAACUUGCAGCUACGGAAACACCUGGCCUGGCGGCCGCUUCAAUGUUAACAUUAGGUUGAAAUAGAGCACGAUAGUAAAUAUCCCUAGAUUCAUUAGACAUGGAAGAAGAAGAAUAAGAAGAAAAAGGAAGAAGUAAAGAGAGAUAGCUAGCUAGCUUAUUUGGUAUGGACUCUUAGUUUAAUUUUGUUUUGGACUUGUGAUUUCACAUAUAAAUAUUCAUGUCGUUUUUUGCGUUUCUUACACAACACAACACACACAUGUAUAUAUAUAAAAUUAGAAUGAGAGAAAGUCUAUCUUGAGCGUUGAAUGAGACUUUUGUUACGCCACUUUUAUAAAGAGAAAAAGUUGACACAUCUCCUUUCCGAUAACAUGACCAUAAAAUAAAAUGGCCUCUCAUGUGGAAACAUGUCCAUGCCUAGCUUGCGAGAUCCUACAAUUCAAAAUGAAAUGUAAAAUAAAAAUAAGAAGAAGAUACAACCAUAUAUUAGAAUCACUAAUGUAUGUUAUAGACCAGUCCGAUGAGGGAGAAGUGAAGAAGGCGUUGAAUUGAAUGAACGGUGAUCAGCGUUUAAGGGGAGCUAUGAGACGGACAUGGCAAUACGAGAUAAGAAGUCAGCGGAGACUAGCAGUAACCGGCGAGAGUCAGUCAGUCAGUCACGAUAUGUGUAAUGUAUGGCUCUUCAUUUUUUAUGAGAUGAUGACGACGAUAGGAAAAAUUGGUCAAAGUUUCAAAGUUCACUAUUAUCGUUAUCAGGCUUACACGUGUCUAAAUUGGCACCGGCUUUUGACCGUAGCCGACAACAUGAUCUGGCACGUGGGAGACCUUUAAAAGUUUAAGCUGCUUUCUUAGUUCUCACAGUGAUCAUGGCCCAUGGGCCUCUUUGGCCUGUCCUGCCGUCUGCAACUGCUGGAGCCUUUUCCCACGUCACCAUCUUCGUUCCAACUGUACGUUUGACUGAACUGCUGUACAAACUUUUUGGUCUCGCACUUUCUGGUCCCAUUCCUCAUCGACACACUACAAUUUAUAUGGCUCUUAAUUAGCUUCUCUAUAAUAUUGAAAUUUCGACUUUCGUUAGUUACGUAUUUGAGAUUAAUUCUUCAAAUUUGAUAAUAAUAACUAUUAUUAUUAUUUUUUCAAAUAAAAAAUCCCAUUCCUUUUAAUUAGCUUGAAAAUAAAUUAUUAUUCUUUCGUACAACAAAUUAAUGCGCAAACGUAGUUGGCGUACUUUCAUUUAAUUUUCCGGCGAGAAAUGUUGUUUGUGAGUUAAAAGAAUUGAUGAUCAUUCAAUAUAAGUUUGUUGGGUAAUUUGUCGUUGACAUUGCCAUUCUGUUUUUAUUUUGCAGCCCAAAACACCAAUUUAUGUGCACAUAAGCAAUUAGCAUUAAUAUGGAGAUGUAGACGCUCGUAUGCGCCCCGGGUGUGCGCGCGCACACGUGCAUGUAUGUGUGUGUGUGCGUGCACGCGUGUGCGCGUAUGUAUGCAUAUAUAUUUAUAUAAUUUUUGUUUAAUGACGACAUAUACAUUUUAAUAAAAUAAAAAUGUUAUUAACAGAUAAAAAAAUAUAAUUUUUAAUGUAUUGAAUUUUUUUUUUAUUUUAUAAAAUGAGGAUGCCUAUAUUGCACAAAUUAAAUAGAAUUGAGAAAUUGCCAAAAUUUAGAAAUAUUGGUUAAUUAGUAGUAAAUUCUUUAUAUUUAAUCGUAGCCCAAAACACCAAUUGAUGUGCACAUAAGCAAUUAAUGUUAAUAUGGAGAUGUAGAAGCUAGUAUGCGCCCCGUGUGUGUGUGUUUAUAUAUAUAAUUUUUGUAUAAUAAUGAAAUCUUCAUUUUAAUAAAAUAAGAAUAUUAUUAACAAAUAAAAAAAUAUAAUUUUUAAUGUAUUAAAUAUUUUUUUUUUUUAUAAAGUGAGGAUGCCUAUAUCGCACAAAUUACAUAGGAUUGAGAAAUUGUCAGAAUUUUAAAAUCUUGGUUAAUCAGUAGCAAAUUCUUUAUAUUUGAUGAGUUCGUUAUAUCUAGAAGUUUUUUCUCUUAUUAUUUAAAAUAAAUAAAUAAAGAACAAUCGUCUCCCUUCCAAUGACAAAUUGGAAGAAAGCACACAAAUCAAUUUUCCGGCGACAAUCAUCAAAUGACAAGAAAAUUUAAGGCCGUAUAUUGCUAAAGCCACCCCUUCAUGAAGCCACGACAGAACUGAUCAAUAACACGAAUGAAGUUUUGAAAAAUCAAGAAACAUUUUGCUGUUUCUCAUCAAUUUUAUCACCAUUUUUGUGAAAUAUGUACGUGUCCUCCAACGUGCAUCGUCUUUAAAGAAACGGUACAUGCAUUAUUUGAUUAUUGAGUUUUUUUUGUGCAUUAGUUAUCAUGAAAAUGAAAUAAAAUGUAUUUCAACAAGAAAUACUUUCACAUGUUUAAUUAUUAACUUACCUCAAUCAUCUGACAUUGAUGGGCUGAUAUCAAGUUUUAAAUUUUGAUAAGAGUUGGCUUAAUCACUAGUUUCGGAGGGACUCUUUGCUAAUGCUGCUAGUUGUUAUUCUUCUCAGUGACCAUUAGUUUAUUCUUCAUUGUGAUGGUUCCUCUAGGAAUCGUUCAAAAGUUCUUACUUUCUUAUCUCUCUAGCUAUAUGUUUGACUAGAUUGCACUUUUCUUGUAUUUUUUUUUCUUCAUUUUUCUGUGUGUUUAACAUGCGUUCAUAGAUUGAGCAAAGUUCAUCACGUCUCUCUAUUAUAGAAUUUUCCUGUUAUUAUUAUUAUUAUUAUUAUUUAUUUAUUUAUUUAUUUGGGUUCAAAAUGAAAAUUAGUAGUGUUUUGAAAUGGUAAAUCAAAGAUGAUUCACUUAAAAAUAUGUGCAGUUGCCGUUAAUUGUGGCUAGUUGUUUGGGUUACACGACUGCUGGUGUCCUCUUCCAAUGCCUGCGCUUUUCACACAGUGCUUGUUGACAAAUUUAAACUUACAUAAUAUAUACUAAUCCUUCUUAAAUCAUGACCUUCUGAUUUAAUUACGGAAAGGCGUAGACUAAGUUAUACAUUUGACUCCACAAUUGUCACAUUUAUUCUCUCACAUAUCGCUACACAAUACCCACUUCAAUUAUGACGUCUACCUACCUUCUCAUAUUGUUGGUUGUUGCCUUGGUGGGUAUCAAAAUUGUACACUUAUUUAUUCUUUUUUAAUUGCAAAUUAUGUCCUUUACGUAUUGAAAUAGGUUUUCUUUAAUUAUUUUUUUGAACCCAAAAAAAAAAAAAGACAAAGACAUAGAGAGAAGAACCAAAUGGUUCAAUUCUGUGCACUACAACUAGAUCUAUGACAGCAGGUGUGAUAGAUAGUAUAAGUCAUUUGACAAUAUUUAAAAACACAUCAUUCUAUUGACAUAAUUCUAUCUUAGAUUGAACUUAAUUACAUGUGAAUAUUUUAAAAAGUAUGUUCUGUUUAAGGAAAACAAAGAAAUGUGACAUGUGAAAUAGGACCAUCACUGUGUCAUGUGUAUAUAAUUUUUUUUUUCCAUUGCCUAAUAUUAAUGAUAGUACAUAACAUUUAUAACAAAGUAGUACAUAACAUUUAUAAUAAAGUACUGUGUUAGUUUGUGACAUCUAAUCUACAAGGUUAGUAUUGGGUUAUCGUAUAUUUGAAUUUGAUUGGAUACAGUUAGAAGAUUUUUUUUUUUGUCUUAACCACGAGGUAUUUUGGGGAGAGUUCCAACUGUGGGAAGUACCUUUAAGACCGUACCACAACUCAGACUAUAAAUUUCUACUCGAACCGGGAGGCACAUAUUUGAAUUUAAUUAAAUACAAUUAGAAGAUUUGAUCAACCAUGUCUGCACCAAUAAUGAAACCUAUAGUGCAAAUGCCGUAUUCUCGUGGAGAAUUAAUAAUAAUAAUACAUAAUUUGUGGGUAAAAUUCCAGUGGACGAUUGCUUAUUGGAGGGUGACUUUUGAUGAUGGCUAAGGUUUGAAUUGACAAAACAGCAUGAAAUUGUUGACCUUAAUCUGUUGCAUUCAUUAUAUUUGGAAUGAGGAGUAUGAAUAUGUGCUAAUAGUCCCUAUCAAUGCACAAGAGGGCAGGUUUUUGUUAGGUGUACACACUGAAAUAAGAGUCUUUGGAUGGAUGUCGACUCCAUUAAAUCACAAAUUAUUUAUUUGAGGUUUAAGAGUGUUUAAAAAAAAAAGGUUAAAACUUUUAUUUAUUUUAUUUAAAAAAUUUAGUUAAUAUUGUUAUUUAUUUUAUUUAAAAAACUUUAUUUAUUGUUAUUUAUUUUUAAAAUAACCUUUGAUAAAAAUCUCCUAUCCUACAACAUAUCUGCUGUACAUAUAUAAAAAGUAAGAAAGGAGUGGCAUUCAAAAUUCGAUUUUGAAAAUCAUUUUUAUAUUUAAUACAAUUUUUGAUGUAUCCUCAUAUACUAUUAAAUCCAAAAUUAUCUCUAUUUAUUAGAAAAUAAAAUUAUUAACUUUAAAGAGUUUAUUAUUAUUACUAAUUAUAUUAAGAUAAAAGAAUAAAAAUAAUAAUAUAAAUAUUUAUUUUAGUUAUUAAUCAUUAUAUGUACACAAUAAAAGAUAUUUUAUAUACAUGUUUAAAAAAAAUUUAAUCUAACGUAACAUUUAAUUUAGUCAUUUAUAUUCUUACAACAGUCUAACAGUAAGAUUAACUAAAUACAUACGAUUGUUUUUAAGACUCAAAACACUUUUAAAAAUAAAUUUUACCAAACAUUUAAUUGAUUAUUUUCACAGCUGAUUAUUUCUACAGCACAACUAAUGACAAUUAUUUUAAAAGUUAUAGUAUUACCAAAUUAACCCUUAAUUUAGUUAUGGGCAAAAUGAUACAUGCACCCCCAAGGUUUGGGAAAAUGGUCACAAAGACCUCCACGUUUUAAAAAAUGGACACCAAUAUCACUACUUAACCAUAAUACCCUUUGGAUUUAAUAAUUAGAAAAAUGACUUUGAAGUUUUUUAAUUAAUACAAAUUUAAUAUAGGUAAUAUAAUAUGUCUAGUAGACUAAUAAUAUUAAGUUAUUUUUAACAUUUGAAAUUAUAUUAACUAUUAAAUUAUUAUAGAGAUUUUAAACAAAUUUUUGGGUUAAAUAGAUUUUACAAUUAACAAAAUAUCUCCCUAUUAAUAAUAUUAAAAUUAUUAUUUUAUAAUAUUCAAAAUAAUUUUGAUUUUAAUUUAUUUAUUGCAAUAUUAUGUUUCUAUUUAUUAUUAAAAUUACUUUAAUAUAAUAAAUUUGGUCUACUAGAUUGUAAAAUAUAAAAAUAUUUUAAAUAUUAAAAUCAUUUUAAAAUGUUUAUAAUAUUACAUUUAUUUUAAUGGCAUAUAUCUAUUCAUUAAGUCAAAGGGCAUUAUUAUUAAAAGGGGAUCUUGGUAUCCUUUAUUGAAAAUUUAUGGUCUUUGUGACCAUUUCUUCACAGUCUAGGGGUGUAGGUAUUAUUUUUCCUAUAUUUCUGUUUUUUAUUAGACCUCACAAAAUACAACAAAAUUCAUUAAUUUCAUUAAUUCGGUGGUGAAGGGGAAGAAAAAAAUUGAAGUUUUGAAAGCUAUGCGACAACUUGUACGCUCCAAUGUCAAUUCCACACUUACGUUUAAUUUGGCAACUUUGUGACAACCAAGCAACCUAUUCUAAUCAUAAUGGAUUCUAAUUUUAGUAUGGCUUGAAAAGAAAUCUUACAAAACGAUUUAUUUGAAUAUAUAUGAGUUUAGUUUAGAAUUCAUCCCACCCUCCACUCUUUUUUAUUAGUUGAAAUUACACAAUUAAGGACUCAUUCAAAUCCGAAACUUCCUAUUUAGGAAAAGUAAUAUCAAUUAAUCAUUUGAAAACAACCCUAUUAAUAAAUUAAAGAUGAACAAGAUAUAUAUCUCUUUAAAACGUUAUUGAAAUUAUUUGAACACCCAACCAGGAUUAGGAUCCUAGGUUCGAAGAUAAAGAAAAAAAAAAAUCAUGUAACGUCAAAAAUCUGUUUUUUUUUUUCACAUAUUUUUAAUUAUAUGAAUUGACUUGAAAGUGAAGGUACAUACACCGGUCCAAUCGCGAAUAAACAUAUACUCCACUUAGAAUUAUUGUUCCAAACUUUUUUUAUUUUUUCUCUUAAACAAAUACAACUGGUUUCAUAAAAUAUAAUUUCUAAAUUUGAUAAGCAAAGCUUGUCUCUUAGUCCCCUAACUUAUAAUGUGAAAGGGAUAUGGAUUGUUUGAUUAUUUCGUCAGUCAAAAUUUCUUUUGACCCAUUCUAGAUUCUGGCUAAUUAUUUUCAUCUUCUCAAUUCUAAUAUAUAUUUCAUAAUGUCAAUGUGCCCCACCACCAUUCAACAUAAUAAUAAUAAUAAUAAUAAUAAUAAUAAUAAUAAUAAUAAUAAUAAUAAUAAUAAUUCUAACAACAAUCACAACAACAACAACAAUAAUAAGGGUUCAAAUAUAUUAGAGUUGCUAUAAGGAAUAGCCGUACGAUUAUAACCAUAGUCUGAUGGUCAAAUGGAGUGAUUAUGAUCGUAUGGUUGUUGGAGUUAUUCUAAAGUGGAGCAUUUCCAACAUAGUUAUGUCCUAAUAAUAAUAAGAAUAAGAAGAAGAAGAAAAUGUACAAAAACUUAUUUUAACCAAAUUAUACAUGCAAUAACAGUAGUUACACAAGAUAAGAAGGAGUUGACUUGUCCAUUUUCGAAAGCUUUUUAGUAAACGCCAUGAACUCAAUUAUUUUUAGAGACCAUGUUUGUUCACUCAGUCAAGGUCACUGAAGCCAGUUUCACUUGAAUUCAAAAAGGUUGUAUUAUGAUUCUUCAUUUUAAUUAUGAGUUAUUUUAUGCUAAGAAAGUUUACAAAUAAAGAGACCGAUGACUUUGUCUGCAUGCACCUGUUACUGUGCCAUGGUUGUUAUUUCAUUGUGGGGUAAUUCAUGUAAGCGGACAUAAAGAGAUAUUAAAGGAGCUAUAGCCAACUAGCUUGAAUUGGGGGAUCAUACAAAGAUUUUUAUGAAACUUGGAAAAUUCAAAGUUAUGAUAUCUAUUGAAUUUUGUGAAUUGAACAAAAGGGUAUUGCUUUUAUCCCAGUAUCAACUAAUAAUCGAGUGAUUAGCUUUUGAAUGAAGACUUCUAAUGAGUUUUCACUAUAAAAAAAUAUCAAAGUUCAAUGAACAUAUACACUUUGGGUCGUGCAUGGACUAGUUGAAAGGUCAAGCUAAUUAGGAAAAGCUUGGAUGAUUAAUACAAUACGACGCCAAUUAAUUAUUGUCCAAAAGUAAAUUGCUUUAGCUGUUUCGCGAAAAGUGCCUUUGAUCAAAUUAAGCUGCUCCUAGUCUAGAGACAAAGCAAUACUGGCCUACCACCUUUGGGAGAUUUAGGGUAACAAGGCAAAGCCAGGACGCAUGCAAUUUGCAAACCCUCUGCUCUACAGUCUACUACGCUACUCAUUUCUGAACCAAAGUAGUCUGUAUGUGAGAUUGUUUCUACCUCAAAUAAACGUUAAACAUUUUGAGAUUUAAAAAUAAAUUACUUAAAUAUCGCAUUUCAUUGAAAAGGUUAUGUAGCUUGAAUCGCUGCGGCAGGCAGUGAAGUAAGCUUUUGGGAGAGCUAUUAACUUACAUAAAUUAAGGCAUGCAAAUUAAUUAAAUAGAGCAUCAUGUUUCUAGACCACUUUAAUUUCUACACAAACUCUGUGCACGACAGAAAGAUUGUUUAAAAUCAUUACCUAAAAGUUUGUAUGAUUACCGCACAAAUUAUGCAAAGGUCAAGUAACCUUUCAUCAGCAUAUGGCAAAUUCAGAUUAUGGUCAAAGCUUAAAAGGUGGCACCAAUCAACUUUGGAAAAAGGUACGUAGGGAGAAUAAAAACUUCUACAAACACAUCAUGGCGUGGAAUCAUCAUGGUUCUAGAACAAAUAAUUGAGUGCUGGUGUAAUCUUAAUAAAAGAGCUGUGUAAAAUGUGGGAAAAUAAUAAGGGUCUUGUUGAGUUAAUCAACUCCGAAAACAUGUGGAAAACACCGCAUGAGUGACGAGGCAGUUCAGUUCAUGCAAUUUAAAAUAAUUUAUACACUCUGCAGAGCAACGAAUAAGCUCAGAAGCAGCAACAUCAAGAAUAUAAAACUAAUUAAAGUCUCUCAUGCACUUACAAAAGAAUAAAUUCAAUAUGCCUACACUAGCAGAAUGUUUGUACAACGCCAUCUAAGCCCUCACUAAUACAGUCAUCCAUCUACUCGAGGGAUAGGAAAAUUGUGUGGAUUGUGCGCAUUUGGAUUCAAAAGCUGGUUAAUGAACAGGCUGACGUGCAAGAGAAUAACUAAUCAGACAUUUAAGCUCAUGGGGGCAUUAUAAAACUAGUUCAACUUGCAUUCUGACCAAACCUUCUUUCAAUUUACAAUUGCAUGUUGUAUGGAACUUGCUAUUUAAAGCAAGGAUGCUUUUAUUUCAUUUAUUAGCCUCCAUGAGAUCAGCAAGAGUUAUCUUUCCACAGUUGCCAGUGUCUAGUCUAUCAAACUUGUGGCAUAUCUGCAUAACAUCCUUCUCUGAUAUCUUUCCCAUCUCCUUGAGCUUGUAUAUGACAUAUUCUGAUUUACUGCAAAAACAACAACAGAACACUCUAUAAGAGUCUAAUCAUCAACCUGCCUAUUUCAUGUUGGCUUUGUUUCUAAAUAAAUGAACGGAGAAUAAAUGAUUACACAAGCGUUGAACGUUGAGGAAAUCCAGAAAAGCAAAAACAAAGUAGGCAGAGAUUACAGAUUUAGACUGCUAUUUGACAACUUACUCGCAGUCAUGGGAAGGAUGAUGAAUAACAAAGAAAUGAAUCAGCAUUGGAAAUGCAGGGUUUAAGUUCUUAAAUAGAUCAUCAAGCUUUUUCAAGCAUAGAACACAUAUUUGAAUGCCAAGCUACCCAAGAAAGUAAGAAACUCCAUAGAUCACAAAAAUUGCCAAGUAUGAAUGACAUAGGAAGUUGAAGGUUACCAUACAAUCUGUAAUACCCAUAUCUCAUUACAUGAAUCACUUGGAAUGUUUUUCCUUGUUCAGAAGAGCAAGGAUGUAUUAAUUUGUAAAAGUUGAAGUCUUUUGAGAUGAUGUUAGAGUGUCGAUUUACUUCUCCUUUCAACCAGGACGAAUUGUCGAACAAUUCCCAGCAGUGUCACAAGAAUUGGACACCUAAAGCUAACAGGAGAAAUUGAUGUUUAACUUGAUUCUGUCAAGCAGCACUCUCAAUAGUGAAAAGGGGAGAGAGAGGCCAAUACCAAACGUAAAUGCACAUCACUAGAAUCAAAGAGCAAGCAAAUCUGCAGUCUUCAUUACUACAUGAAGUUGUAAAUUUUCUAUGAAUAAUUUGAAAUUCAAACUUCAUAUUUGGAACUUGGAAGCACUGAACACAAAAAGUUCAGUAAGAAAAUUUUUGCAACAUUGAAGCUAAAACUGAAAUAUUUAAACUAGUGUUAAAAAAUGAAUUUUAGGUUCAGAUAAGGUAGAACUUGGCACAAUUUGCCGUUGUCUAUCACAUCUUAACAUAAGGUAUACCGCACCACAUGACUCCCGCAAUACCUUUAGUAAUCAUCAGACACAUAGUUUAACAGAUUCCAGCAGUACAUCAAAGCAAUUUACCAAACAUGAAGCUAUUUAUACCAAAAAAAAAAAAAACACUCAGACAAAGCUUGAUUGAACAUUAAACUUCAAGUCAGCAAAUCCCAAACAAAGUGAGAAGAUGAGAAUGCAUAAUUAGGGCACACAAAAUUACGAGUAUAACAUACCUCACAAAACCAUUGUUGUCAAUAUCAGCAGCAAGAAACUCAGCCACGGUCAUGUCCUGACCAAGUACCCACUUUGCCAUCUUCCUGUGCCGCUUAUCUACUCUGGCCUCAGCCAGAUACAAAAAUGCUCGAGCAACUGCAAGUGUGGAUACAAGCAACCAAAUGGAAGCAAAAAGUCGACCUGGCAUUGACUUAAAUGCCCUGUCCCCAUAGCCUACUGUGGUAACCGACAUAACUGAAAGAUAAAAGGAAUCCAACCAACCAAGCUUCUCAACAAAAUGCAUAACACCAACACCAAUUCCGAUACAAAGAACCACAACACCAAGUGCCAAUGCCACCUUCAUUCUUAUCCUCAUCCUCCCUUUUUUCACAUCAAUUAUAUAUGAUCCUGGAGACUCCUUAUGACCACCACCCUUAAUAGUUCUCAACAAAUAGUUCUCUUGCAAAUCAAGCACAUAACUAACCAUCCCAGUAAGCAAAAUAUCAACAAAGCCAAAUCCAACCAACACAAACAAGAUUGAAAACACCUUAGUUGGCACAGUCCUAGGGGUAAUAUCACCAUAGCCAAUGGUACACAUUGUGACAAUACAAAAAUACAAAGCAUCAACAACAGGAUGAGUCUCAGAAGCAGUAAAAUUAUGACGAUUAAACCAAUAAAUAGUGACGCCCAAUGAUAAAUAUAAGAUCAAAAGCACAACAGCUUGCCUAACAAUAGACUGAGAACCGAAUUGAGGCUUAGGAACAGCAUCAUGGUGCUUUAAAUCAUUGAUGACAGCCAUAGCGGGUGCAGUUUUUGACCUGUGAAGAUUGCUCUUGGCAAAAGCAUAAUUAGGAUCAAUUAACCAAGAUUGAGGUGAUUGCAAUUGUGAAGAUUGUUGCUGCUGCGGCAACAAUACUGCAUCUUGAAUCGAGGAUGACUGUUGCAGACUAGAUGAAUCUCUGGAAAAGAAAGAGGUGCUGGAAGAAGAGGAGGCACUGGUCGUGGGCGACGCGAGUGAAAGAGUCAAGGCAUCAACAAUGGGAGAAGCAUCUUUAGGAGACGUAACAGGUCCAAAUAUGAGUCUAUCUUUGAGCUCUGAAGGAGUUAUAGGCAUUGGAAUUGAGAUUUCUCCAUCUUCUGGAAGUGGAAACAGAGGAGGUGGCGGCGUCGGUUUCUUCCUCGGGCUCAAAUAACAUAAAAGAGGUUCUUUUUCCAUCCUCACAGGUAAGCCAAGCCGGAAAAACGCUUUUACUGGCAGAAAAGAAAAGAUUCAGCUUUUAUAACCCCACCUUAUUAUUAUUAUUAUUAUUAUUGGGUGGUUUUGGAGAACUGGGUUUCUCAACAAACAACCAAACGAUCAAUUUUUUUUUAAAAAAAAUAUAUAUUUAAGGAUGGAUUUGGAGAUGGUGACUGUAUUUGUGUAAGUUUGUGGAAGUGCUUUUAUUAAUUCUGAGGAUCAAAUUAAAAGGAUUUUAUUUUCUUUUAUAUUUUUGCAUUUAUAUUGUAGAAGAAGACGAUGAAAUAAAAGCUUUGAGAAAGUUUGGAUUCGAUCUCGUGUUUUGUGGCCGUCGUUUUUUUUUAAUGGAAAACCGCCGAGCAGUUGAAAGAAUUAAAAGCUGAAACUCCUUAAUCAUCGUCCUCAACGAUAAAAAGUUUUGGUUUCUUCUGUCAAAUGAUUGUGAAACACGCGCCAGUUGAUGGCGAGUGCGUCAUGUGAAUCUGAUUACAGACUGCCUACGGACGCUGCUUUUCGUAAUUGAAGGUGGCCACGUUUCACAAUUUGGAUACACACGCUGGCACAGCGCAUGUGACAAUUAUUAUUGAUACUAUAUUACUAGGGCGUAGAGUUAUUUAUAUUUUAAAAAUUAUUCGUACCAUUUUAUUAUUUUAUAUACUCGUAUCCUAAAAAAAUUAAAUUUUAUUUUUAUAUUCUUUAAAAUAAAAAAUUAUUUAAACUAGUUAAAUUAAUUUACUCAAAAUACUAAUGAAACUAUUUAGCACAUCUAAGAUGAAAUAAUAAUAAUUUAACAUUUAAAAUAAUGGAAUCAAAUUAUGCUUUAAACACAUUUUUUUAGCAUAAGUUUCAGUUAUUAUUUUUUGUUUAUUUACAAUAUGUUCAAUGUCAGUUUCUAUAUCCCAAUUUUUGAACCUAACCAUUUAAAAAAAAAAUAUGGCUACUAGCCCAAAAAAAAAAAGAUUAAAAAAAAGAGUAAGAAGAAGAAGACAACGGAGUAAAGGGAAAAGACUGCAAAAAAAUCUUUCUUUUUUUUUUCUUUUUAAAAUCAAAAAGUAAAAAUAUGUUCAAGAUAUAUUAAAAGUACUGAUUUGCUCCUUAUUUAACUGAAUACUGUUUAAGAGAUAAAAAAAUAAAUUUUUUUAGAGUUUAUGGCAAGAGAAUUAUAUAUUGAACAACAAAUUUUGAUAUUAGUGUUUAAAGUAAUUAUAUUAUAUUAGUUUAUAAGAAGGAGUUAUUAUUAAAAAUUAUGGGUAUUGUUAUAAUAAAAUAAUUUAUCAAAAUAAAAGUGGAUGGAGUAGGUAGUUAGUUUCUACACCGCAAAUACUAAAUGACGGGUCCGGCUACUUUGCAUAAGGAGUAAAGUAACACUUCUUCUUUGUCUUUUAGCGAUUUCAUCAUCAGAUGGUGAAGCAAAAUAUCAAAGGGCUGAAAUUUGAAAAAGAAAAAAGGUCUAAUUAUUGGGUUACCGGCAGAAGCUGUUAAGAAAAAUUAGGGUUUUUUUUAAAAAAAAAAUUGUUUCUUUAAUGUCUACUGUCUGAUAAGUUGAUCUAGCGAAUCUACUUGGUGGCCGAAGGCUAGUAGAGGCGAGGGACCCAAGCGUUACAUUUAUUAGAGUAAUGGGUUCAGAUACCUAUUAACAAACUCUUGCUUCUGUCAAUUAGGAUUUUCAUUGGCAAAGUUCGUGUAUUGUGUAUUUCAUCAAUCACACGGCGGCGGGUUCACAUACAACACGUGAGGUUCUGGUCUUUAUUAUGGUUGUUAGUCGAUGUCGCGAAACGACCAAUCGAGUCGUGCUGCAGCCAUGAGAUGAGAAGAGGAAUCAUCUUGGAAGAGAUUUUGUGAAUAUUGUGUUGCUGUUGUUGAGUGUCAAUCAGUGCAUCUUUCUUUCUUGCACAAAUUGAGGUAUGUUUUGGUGGUAAAUGACUGGGCUGGGACGAUGAGUUAGGACUGGCGAAUAAGAAGAUUUGGGUACACAAAACUAUCGAGUUUGCUUGUAAAGUAUAUAUACAUUAGGAGGCUAUUAAAAAAAAAAAAGGAUAGGAGUAAUCCAUACCUGCUUGGAUACUGGUGGUGAAGCUUUGUAAAAUUUAUAGAUGGUUGGUUCGAUUAAAUCGUUCUGUCGAACCUUAGUUGAGGUCCGGCUUGGAAGUUUUGGCUGCACCAGUCAUCUAAAGUAAUUGUUUUGAAUCUUUCUGUAAAUUGUAGAUGAAGCUGGAAGCAGCAGCAAUCAAUAAUUAUCUAUAAUUGUAUUGGCAUUUUGAUAAAUUUUCAUUAGAUAUUAUUUAAUUGAGUUUUUUUUUUUUCAUUUUCUGUACUUUGAAAAGUGAAAAGGUAUGUUUACAUCAUUUAUUAAACAUACUUUAUAGUUAAUCUGAUGUUUAUUUUGAUCAUUAUACAAUAAAUAGUAAUAAUAUAGUUAUAAAUUCA